GUAGGGAAUCUUCGGCAAUGGACGAAAGUCUGACCGAGCAACGCCGCGUGAGUGAAGAAGGUUUUCGGAUCGUAAAACUCUGUUGGUAGAGAAGAACGUUGGUGAGAGUGGAAAGCUCAUCAAGUGACGGUAACUACCCAGAAAGGGACGGCUAACUACGUGCCAGCAGCCGCGGUAAUACGUAGGUCCCGAGCGUUGUCCGGAUUUAUUGGGCGUAAAGCGAGCGCAGGUGGUUUAUUAAGUCUGGUGUAAAAGGCAGUGGCUCAACCAUUGUAUGCAUUGGAAACUGGUAGACUUGAGUGCAGGAGAGGAGAGUGGAAUUCCAUGUGUAGCGGUGAAAUGCGUAGAUAUAUGGAGGAACACCGGUGGCGAAAGCGGCUCUCUGGCCUGUAACUGACACUGAGGCUCGAAAGCGUGGGGAGCAAACAGGAUUAGAAACCCCAGUAGUCC
This 450-nucleotide ribosomal RNA is filed under the name uncultured bacterium. RNAcentral describes it as "bacterial SSU rRNA". It matches the Rfam family "Bacterial small subunit ribosomal RNA", at positions 354 to 796 of the family's 1533-position model. The record is from RNAcentral.